UUUCUCUCCUUAACCCCUACAAGGGUUUGGAAAAUGCCUUUGUGCUGGUUGCUGCUGUCAGCUGGGGAGGCUGAGGCAGGAGGAU
This 85-nucleotide microRNA precursor is filed under the name Ictidomys tridecemlineatus (thirteen-lined ground squirrel). Its description in RNAcentral is "miRNA (ENSSTOG00000027625.1)". The record is from RNAcentral. Lineage: Eukaryota; Metazoa; Chordata; Mammalia; Rodentia; Sciuridae.